RNAcentral lists this ribosomal RNA (732 nucleotides) under uncultured archaeon. RNAcentral's name for it is "bacterial SSU rRNA". It matches the Rfam family "Archaeal small subunit ribosomal RNA", at positions 144 to 879 of the family's 1478-position model. The record is from RNAcentral.
GGCUAAACCGCGAUAGACCAAGAUACCUGGAAUGGUUUUUGAUCAAAAUCUAUAUGGCCUUUGGAUUGGACUGCGACCGAUCAGGCUGUUGGUGAGGUAAUGGCCCACCAAACCAGUAACCGGUACGGGCUCUGAGAGGAGGAGCCCGGAGAUGGGUACUGAGACAAGGACCCAGGCCCUAUGGGGCGCAGCAGGCGCGAAACCUCUGCAAUAGGCGAAAGCCUGACAGGGUUAUUCUGAGUGACUUUCGCUAAGAAAGUCUUUUGACAUCUCUAAAAAUGGUGUAGAAUAAGGGGUGGGCAAGUCUGGUGUCAGCCGCCGCGGUAAUACCAGCACCCCGAGUGGUCGGGACGAUUAUUGGGCCUAAAGCAUCCGUAGCCGGUUUUACAAGUCCUCCGUUAAAUCCAACUGCUUAACAGAUGGGCCGCGGAGGAUACUAUAAGACUAGGAGGCAGGAGAGGCAAGCGGUACUCAGUGGGUAGGGGUAAAAUCCGUUGAUCCAUUGAAGACCACCAGUGGCGAAGGCGGCUUGCCAGAAUGCGCUCGACGGUGAGGGAUGAAAGCUGGGGGAGCAAACCGGAUUAGAUACCCGGGUAGUCCCAGCUGUAAACGAUGCAGACUCGGUGAUGGACUAGCUUAAUGCUAGUCCAGUGCCGCAGGGAAGCCGUUAAGUCUGCCGCCUGGGUAGCACGGUCGCAAGACUGAAACUUAAAGGAAUUGGCGGGGGAGCAC